Molecule: long non-coding RNA, 1084 nt
Filed under: Monodelphis domestica (gray short-tailed opossum)
Lineage: Eukaryota; Metazoa; Chordata; Mammalia; Didelphimorphia; Didelphidae
Description: lncRNA (ENSMODG00000043459.1)
Source: RNAcentral
AGAAAUUCAAAGUCUAAUAUUCUAACUAAAGUAAGACCACAUGUGUAAAUUCUCCUGCUUGGCUCUUGGCCAGCUUUAGCACCCACAGUCAGGAAAAGAGACACAGAGAGAGAGAGACAAACAGACAGACAGAGAGACACAGAGAGACAGACAGACAGAGACAUAGAGAGAGAGAGAGAGAGAGAGAAGGAGGGAGAGAGACAGAGAGAGAAAGAGAGAGAAAGAGAAAGAGAGAGAGGAGAGAGAGAGAGAGAGAGAGAGAGAGAGAGAGAGAGAGAGAGAGAGAGAGAGAGAGGAGAGAGAGGUGUCAAACCAAAACUUCAUCCUUGGUACAUUCAGGCAGUCCUGGCACUCAGUGUAAGCACGAAAAUGGGAUGGGUUGACUGAUUUCUAGACACACAUAUAUUCUCAGGGAAGAAACACAGAGACAGAGGAAACCAUCCAGGGACUUGGGCUCAUCUAGGUAAACACAUGUUGUUCACUGUGUGUGCUAUAACUACAAUUGCCACUGGGGAGAAGAAAGAAAUUCUCUUCUCUGCAUUUACUGGAAAUCUAAAAAGAGAAAUGCAGGAAAACUCCCAAGGGAGCCAACUAAAAAGCAGAGGAAUUGAACAUUUCUUUAGCUCUUAGAGCCUGUUAAAAGUAAGUGAGACAACAAUACCACUACUGUGUCUAUAUCUCAAAGAGAUCAGACAUAAAGGAAAAGAACCUAUUUGUACAUAAAUAUUUUUAGCAGCUCUUUUUGUAGUGGCAAAAAAGAAACUGAGUAGGUAUCCAGCAACUGGGGAAUGGCUGAACAAGCUAUGAAAGAUAUAUGGUUGUAAAGGAAAUGGAAAACUAUUGCAUCAUAAGAAAGGAUGAACAGGAUGAGUUCAGAAAAACCUGGAAAGACUUACAUGAACUAAUGCAAAAUGAAGUGAACAGAACCAGGAGAACAAUGAAUAUAGCAACAGAAGAAUUGUCAUGAUGAUCAACUGUGAAGAACUAAACUAUUUUAGCAAAACAAGGUUCCAAGAUAACCCCAAGAGACUCAUGAUUUAAAAAAAAAAGCAAACAAACGAAAUAAAACUACUUUCCACAACCA